Molecule: ribosomal RNA, 253 nt
Filed under: uncultured bacterium
Lineage: Bacteria
Description: partial 16S ribosomal RNA
Rfam family: Bacterial small subunit ribosomal RNA
Source: RNAcentral
UACGAAGGGGGCUAGCGUUGCUCGGAAUCACUGGGCGUAAAGCGCACGUAGGCGGAUCUUUAAGUCAGGGGUGAAAUCCUGGAGCUCAACUCCAGAACUGCCUUUGAUACUGGCGAUCUCGAGUCCGGGAGAGGUGAGUGGAACUGCGAGUGUAGAGGUGAAAUUCGUAGAUAUUCGCAAGAACACCAGUGGCGAAGGCGGCUCACUGGCCCGGUACUGACGCUGAGGUGCGAAAGCUAGGGGAGCAAACGGG